Molecule: long non-coding RNA, 534 nt
Organism: Lagopus muta (rock ptarmigan)
Lineage: Eukaryota; Metazoa; Chordata; Aves; Galliformes; Phasianidae
Exons: 4
Source: RefSeq, a predicted model, not a curated record
GGAAGGAUCUCUUUUGGAGAUCCCCUCUUUUGGUAUCUUCUGGUGAGCUCAACCGAAGGAUGGUAGCAGAGAGGUAGUCUGACAAAAUGACAUCUGAGUGCAUACGAAGCAAAAGCGUGCCACUGAAUUCCUCCGUGCAGAAGAAAUUGUACCCACUGAUGUUUGUCGACUUUUGCAGAAUGUUUAUGGAAACCAAACAGUGAAUAUUGACAGAUUAAGAAGAGGGGGCUGUAUACGGAGCUGAACAUCAGUUUUAGUGCACUGGAAACAGUUGGAAUAUCACAAAAUUUGCAACAGAAGCACCAAGUGUUCAACAUCUGCUGCACCCAGAUGAAGCUUCACUACAUUAGAGCAAGGAAGUGCCAUAUUCUGAGGCAGAUCUCUCCAGUGGAAGGAAAACUCUAAGUUUGUAUAUGGAAUGCAUGCGGGAAGAAUUGAGAAAAACUUCUGUCAUUGCCAUAAGUCGGCAGGUCCCUCUGUAACGGUGGAAAAUAAUCUGCCAAUACAAAGACAGAAUAAAAUUAAUGAAGUUGA